UACAUGGGGUGCAAACGUUGCUCGGAAUUAUUGGGCGUAAAGGGCGCGUAGGCGGCCAGCGCAAGUCAGUUGUGAAAUCUCCGAGCUUAACUCGGAAAGGUCAACUGAUACUGCGCGGCUAGAGUGCGGAAGGGGCAACUGGAAUUCUCGGUGUAGCGGUGAAAUGCGUAGAUAUCGAGAGGAACACCUGCGGCGAAGGCGGGUUGCUGGGCCGACACUGACGCUGAGGCGCGAAAGCUGGGGGAGCGAACGGG
Molecule: ribosomal RNA, 254 nt
Filed under: uncultured bacterium
Lineage: Bacteria
Description: partial 16S ribosomal RNA
Rfam family: Bacterial small subunit ribosomal RNA
Source: RNAcentral